Molecule: signal recognition particle RNA, 102 nt
Filed under: human gut metagenome
Also listed under: 1 other name
Description: Bacteroidales small SRP
Rfam family: Bacteroidales small SRP
About the family: The non-coding component of the signal recognition particle in Bacteroides
Source: RNAcentral
AGCCGGGUAAGUCCUACACGACCAGCUCCCCCCGAACUCCGUCAGGUCUUGAUCGAAGCAGCGGUAGGGGGUCGUAGCGGUGCGAUGUAGUAAGCUUACCCU